Molecule: ribosomal RNA, 2215 nt
Filed under: Pahorinae sp. New Zealand CG226
Lineage: Eukaryota; Metazoa; Arthropoda; Arachnida; Araneae; Synotaxidae
Description: eukaryotic LSU rRNA
Rfam family: Eukaryotic large subunit ribosomal RNA
Source: RNAcentral
GGAGGAAAAGAAACCAACAGGGAUUCCGUGAGUAACGGCGAGCGAAAAGGGAUGAGCCCAGCGCCGAAUCCCACCCUCGACGGGGGUCGGGAAAUGUGGCGUUUAGGAGUGAGCGCGCCGACGGUCGCCCGAGCAGCAAGUCCCCCUGACCGGGGCUGUUACCCAGAGUGGGUGCGAGGCCCAUAGCUGCUCGGGCUCUGCCGGACGCGAUCUCCUUGGAGUCGGGUUGCUUGGGAGUGCAACCCUAAGCGGGUGGUAAACUCCACCUAAGGCUAAAUACUGCCGUGAGACCGAUAGCAAACAAGUACCGUGAGGGAAAGUUGCAAAGAACUUUGAAGAGAGAGUUCAAGAGUACGUGAAACUGCUUAGAGGCAAACGGGUGGGCCCUCGAAAUCCUGUGGCGGGAGGAUUCAGCCGGGCGUUGCGGGCUCCGUUCCGCGGGACUACAGACAGAAAGGCGCUCUCUACGGGGCCGGUCCCGCGCGGUGCACCUGUGGCGCCCGACGCAUUUGUUUCCCGUCCGAAGGACGCCGCGACCGGUUGGGAGUUACGGCCUUAAGGGCGGGAGCGGCAGGUGGCCGGUGGCUUCCCCCGUGGUUGUCGCCGGAUGCUAGCCAUUCCGUCGCACGGCACGUGUCCCGACCGUGGUGUCACGAGGCCCCUCUGGGCCUGCACGCCUCCUCCUGAACCUCCAAGUUUGGGAAGUCGGAUGGUACGGUGGCAGCGGUUUCUCCUACUGCCCGGCGGCCGCACGGAACGAUCCGUGGGCCUGCUGGCGGGAGUCCGCGUUGGCUGCCGCGAGUCCGUUGGAGUUGUUGGCGGUUUGCGGCGAGUAGAUCGGUCACCCACCCGACCCGUCUUGAAACACGGACCAAGGAGUCUAACAUGUGUGCGAGUCAAUGGGUCUCGUAUAAGCCCAGGGGCGCAAUGAAAGCAAAGGCCGGACCAGUGCCGGCCGUGUUGGGAUCCCCGGCCCUCGGAGGUCGGGGCGCACCAACGACCCGUCCUGUGCCCUUACGUGGCUUGGGCGGAGUCCGAGCAUACACGUUGGGACCCGAAAGAUGGUGAACUAUGCCCGGGCAGGACGAAGCCAGAGGAAACUCUGGUGGAGGUCCGUAGCGGUUCUGACGUGCAAAUCGAUCGUCAGAUCCGGGUCUAGGGGCGAAAGACUAAUCGAACCAUCUAGUAGCUGGUUCCCUCCGAAGUUUCCCUCAGGAUAGCUGGCGCUCGUCGAAUUCAGUCUCAUCCGGUAAAGCGAAUGAUUAGAGGCCUUGGGGCCGAAACGACCUCAACCUAUUCUCAAACUUUAAAUGGGUGAGAAGUCCGCCUUUCUCGACUGAAGGCCGGACAUUAUCAUGGAUGAGAGUGCCCAGUGGGCCACUUUUGGUAAGCAGAACUGGCGCUGUGGGAUGAACCAAACGACGGGUUACGGUGUCCGAUGCGAGACGCUCAUGAGACCCCAUGAAAGGUGUUGGUUGCUCUAGACAGCAGGACGGUGGCCAUGGAAGUCGGAAUCCGCUAAGGAGUGUGUAACAACUCACCUGCCGAAGCAACUAGCCCUGAAAAUGGAUGACGCUCCAGCGUCGAACCCAUACCCGUCCGCUCCGGCAGAGCUCCCGUCUAAGAGGAGGCCUACGCCGGAGUGAGUAGGAGGGUCGCGACGGCGAGCGUUGAAGGUGCCGGGCGUGAGCCCGCCUGGAGCCGCCGUCGGUGCAGAUCUUGGUGGUAGUAGCAAAUACUCAAGUGAGAACCUUGAGGACUGAAGGUGGAGAAGGGUUCCAUGUGAACAGCAGUUGAACAUGGGUCAGUCGGCCCUAAGGGAUCGGAGAAAUCCGUUCCGAAGCGGGACACUGGGAAAACGGAGAGCAACUCCGCGAGAGCUCGUCCCGCUGCCGACCGAAAGGGAAUGGGGUCAAUAUUCCCCAACCCGGACACGGAGAUAGAGCCCUCGGGCUCAAGUGCGGCGACGCAACCGAACUCGGAGACGUCGGCGGAGGACCCGGGGAAGAGUUGUCUUUUCUUUGUAAGAGUUCGUGUCCCUGGAAUCGGCUCGUCCGGAGAUAGGGACGCUGUCCUCGUAAAAGCACCGCGGCUCUUGCGGUGUCCGGUGCGCCUCUGCCGGCCCUUGCAAAUCCGAGGGAGAGAGUGUGAUUUUCGUGCCGGUCCGUACCCAUAUCCGCAGCAUGUCUCCAAGGUGAACAGCCUCUAGUCGAUA